RNAcentral lists this ribosomal RNA (2712 nucleotides) under Klebsiella pneumoniae. RNAcentral's name for it is "bacterial LSU rRNA". It matches the Rfam family "Bacterial large subunit ribosomal RNA". The record is from RNAcentral. Lineage: Bacteria; Pseudomonadati; Pseudomonadota; Gammaproteobacteria; Enterobacterales; Enterobacteriaceae.
CCGGCGAUGUCCGAAUGGGGAAACCCAGUGCAAUUCGUUGCACUAUCGUUAACUGAAUACAUAGGUUAACGAGGCGAACCGGGGGAACUGAAACAUCUAAGUACCCCGAGGAAAAGAAAUCAACCGAGAUUCCCCCAGUAGCGGCGAGCGAACGGGGAGCAGCCCAGAGUCUGAAUCAGCUUGUGUGUUAGUGGAACGGUCUGGAAAGUCCGACGGUACAGGGUGAUAGUCCCGUACACCAAAAUGCACAGGCUGUGAACUCGAAGAGUAGGGCGGGACACGUGGUAUCCUGUCUGAAUAUGGGGGGACCAUCCUCCAAGGCUAAAUACUCCUGACUGACCGAUAGUGAACCAGUACCGUGAGGGAAAGGCGAAAAGAACCCCGGCGAGGGGAGUGAAAAAGAACCUGAAACCGUGUACGUACAAGCAGUGGGAGCACCUUCGGGUGUGACUGCGUACCUUUUGUAUAAUGGGUCAGCGACUUAUAUUCUGUAGCAAGGUUAACCGUAUAGGGGAGCCGCAGGGAAACCGAGUCUUAACUGGGCGUUAAGUUGCAGGGUAUAGACCCGAAACCCGGUGAUCUAGCCAUGGGCAGGUUGAAGGUUGGGUAACACUAACUGGAGGACCGAACCGACUAAUGUUGAAAAAUUAGCGGAUGACUUGUGGCUGGGGGUGAAAGGCCAAUCAAACCGGGAGAUAGCUGGUUCUCCCCGAAAGCUAUUUAGGUAGCGCCUCGUGAAUUCAUCUUCGGGGGUAGAGCACUGUUUCGGCUAGGGGGUCAUCCCGACUUACCAACCCGAUGCAAACUACGAAUACCGAAGAAUGUUAUCACGGGAGACACACGGCGGGUGCUAACGUCCGUCGUGAAGAGGGAAACAACCCAGACCGCCAGCUAAGGUCCCAAAGUCAUGGUUAAGUGGGAAACGAUGUGGGAAGGCACAGACAGCCAGGAUGUUGGCUUAGAAGCAGCCAUCAUUUAAAGAAAGCGUAAUAGCUCACUGGUCGAGUCGGCCUGCGCGGAAGAUGUAACGGGGCUAAACCAUGCACCGAAGCUGCGGCAGCGACACUAUGUGUUGUUGGGUAGGGGAGCGUUCUGUAAGCCUGCGAAGGUGACCUGUGAGGGUUGCUGGAGGUAUCAGAAGUGCGAAUGCUGACAUAAGUAACGAUAAAGCGGGUGAAAAGCCCGCUCGCCGGAAGACCAAGGGUUCCUGUCCAACGUUAAUCGGGGCAGGGUGAGUCGACCCCUAAGGCGAGGCCGAAAGGCGUAGUCGAUGGGAAACAGGUUAAUAUUCCUGUACUUGGUGUUACUGCGAAGGGGGGACGGAGAAGGCUAUGUUAGCCGGGCGACGGUUGUCCCGGUUUAAGCAUGUAGGCUGGUUGUCCAGGCAAAUCCGGAUAAUCAAGGCUGAGGUGUGAUGACGAGGCACUACGGUGCUGAAGUAACAAAUGCCCUGCUUCCAGGAAAAGCCUCUAAGCAUCAGGUAACAUCAAAUCGUACCCCAAACCGACACAGGUGGUCAGGUAGAGAAUACCAAGGCGCUUGAGAGAACUCGGGUGAAGGAACUAGGCAAAAUGGUGCCGUAACUUCGGGAGAAGGCACGCUGGUGUGUAGGUGAAGUCCCUGCGGAUGGAGCUGAGACCAGUCGAAGAUACCAGCUGGCUGCAACUGUUUAUUAAAAACACAGCACUGUGCAAACACGAAAGUGGACGUAUACGGUGUGACGCCUGCCCGGUGCCGGAAGGUUAAUUGAUGGGGUUAUCCGUAAGGAGAAGCUCUUGAUCGAAGCCCCGGUAAACGGCGGCCGUAACUAUAACGGUCCUAAGGUAGCGAAAUUCCUUGUCGGGUAAGUUCCGACCUGCACGAAUGGCGUAAUGAUGGCCAGGCUGUCUCCACCCGAGACUCAGUGAAAUUGAACUCGCUGUGAAGAUGCAGUGUACCCGCGGCAAGACGGAAAGACCCCGUGAACCUUUACUAUAGCUUGACACUGAACAUUGAGCCUUGAUGUGUAGGAUAGGUGGGAGGCUUUGAAGCGUGGACGCCAGUCUGCGUGGAGCCAACCUUGAAAUACCACCCUUUAAUGUUUGAUGUUCUAACGUUGGCCCCUGACCGGGGUUGCGGACAGUGUCUGGUGGGUAGUUUGACUGGGGCGGUCUCCUCCCAAAGCGUAACGGAGGAGCACGAAGGUUAGCUAAUCCUGGUCGGACAUCAGGAGGUUAGUGCAAUGGCAUAAGCUAGCUUGACUGCGAGCGUGACGGCGCGAGCAGGUGCGAAAGCAGGUCAUAGUGAUCCGGUGGUUCUGAAUGGAAGGGCCAUCGCUCAACGGAUAAAAGGUACUCCGGGGAUAACAGGCUGAUACCGCCCAAGAGUUCAUAUCGACGGCGGUGUUUGGCACCUCGAUGUCGGCUCAUCACAUCCUGGGGCUGAAGUAGGUCCCAAGGGUAUGGCUGUUCGCCAUUUAAAGUGGUACGCGAGCUGGGUUUAGAACGUCGUGAGACAGUUCGGUCCCUAUCUGCCGUGGGCGCUGGAGAAUUGAGGGGGGCUGCUCCUAGUACGAGAGGACCGGAGUGGACGCAUCACUGGUGUUCGGGUUGUCAUGCCAAUGGCACUGCCCGGUAGCUAAAUGCGGAAGAGAUAAGUGCUGAAAGCAUCUAAGCACGAAACUUGCCCCGAGAUGAGUUCUCCCUGAGACUUUAAGUCUCCUGAAGGAACGUU